This 75-nucleotide transfer RNA is filed under the name Bacteroidales bacterium. RNAcentral's name for it is "tRNA-Val". It matches the Rfam family "tRNA". Rfam says of the family: Transfer RNA (tRNA) molecules are approximately 80 nucleotides in length. Their secondary structure includes four short double-helical elements and three loops (D, anti-codon, and T loops). Further hydrogen bonds mediate the characteristic L-shaped molecular structure. tRNAs have two regions of fundamental functional importance: the anti-codon, which is responsible for specific mRNA codon recognition, and the 3' end, to which the tRNAs corresponding amino acid is attached (by aminoacyl-tRNA synthetases). tRNAs cope with the degeneracy of the genetic code in two manners: having more than one tRNA (with a specific anti-codon) for a particular amino acid; and 'wobble' base-pairing, i.e. permitting non-standard base-pairing at the 3rd anti-codon position. Lineage: Bacteria; Pseudomonadati; Bacteroidota; Bacteroidia; Bacteroidales. The record is from RNAcentral.
GGAAGCUUAGCUCAGUUGGUUUAGAGCACCUGCCUUACAAGCAGGGGGUCGCUGGUUCGACCCCAGCAGUUUCCA